AGCAUCAGGGUUCCACCUCUUCCCAUUCCGAACAGAGAAGUUAAGCCUGAUCACGCCGAUGGUACUGCGUAACAGUGGGAGAGUAGGUAGUCGCCGUUU
Molecule: ribosomal RNA, 99 nt
Filed under: Bacteroides fragilis
Lineage: Bacteria; Pseudomonadati; Bacteroidota; Bacteroidia; Bacteroidales; Bacteroidaceae
Also listed under: 2 other names
Source: RNAcentral